CAAUGCGACCCCAGGUCAGGCGGGGCUACCCGCUGAGUUAAGCAUAUCAAUAAGCGGA
RNAcentral lists this ribosomal RNA (58 nucleotides) under Ficus saussureana. RNAcentral's name for it is "partial 28S ribosomal RNA". The record is from RNAcentral. Lineage: Eukaryota; Viridiplantae; Streptophyta; Magnoliopsida; Rosales; Moraceae.